Molecule: ribosomal RNA, 220 nt
Filed under: uncultured bacterium
Lineage: Bacteria
Description: partial 16S ribosomal RNA
Rfam family: Bacterial small subunit ribosomal RNA
Source: RNAcentral
GCAAGUCGAGCGCCCACUUCGGUGGGAGCGGCGGACGGGUUAGUAACGCGUGGGAACAUACCCUUUUCUACGGAAUAGCCUCUGGAAACGGAGAGUAAUACCUUAUACGCCCUUUGGGGGAAAGAUUUAUCGGAGAAGGAUUAGCCCGCGUUAGAUUAGGUAGUUGGUGGGGUAAUGGCCUACCAAGCCUACGAUCUAUAGCUGGUUUGAGAGGAUGAUC